GGAAAAUUGCCAGAGUGGUCGAUUGGGCUUGACUCGAAAUCAAGUGAACGGCUUGCUGUUCCAUAGGUUCGAAUCCUAUAUUUUCCG
RNAcentral lists this transfer RNA (87 nucleotides) under Bacteroidales bacterium. Its description in RNAcentral is "tRNA-Ser". It matches the Rfam family "tRNA". Rfam says of the family: Transfer RNA (tRNA) molecules are approximately 80 nucleotides in length. Their secondary structure includes four short double-helical elements and three loops (D, anti-codon, and T loops). Lineage: Bacteria; Pseudomonadati; Bacteroidota; Bacteroidia; Bacteroidales. The record is from RNAcentral.